CGCAAGCCUGAUGCAGCGACGCCGCGUGAGGGACGAAGGCCUUCGGGUUGUAAACCUCUUUCGACAGGGACGAAGCGCAAGUGACGGUACCUGUAGAAGAAGCGCCGGCCAACUACGUGCCAGCAGCCGCGGUAAGACGUAGGGCGCAAGCGUUGUCCGGAUUUAUUGGGCGUAAAGAGCUCGUAGGCGGCCUGUCGCGUCGACUGUGAAAACCCACGGCUUAACCGUGGGACUGCAGUCGAUACGGGCAGGCUCGAGUUCGGUAGGGGAGACUGGAAUUCCUGGUGUAGCGGUGAAAUGCGCAGAUAUCAGGAGGAACACCGGUGGCGAAGGCGGGUCUCUGGGCCGAUACUGACGCUGAGGAGCGAAAGCGUGGGGAGCGAACAGGAUUAGAUACCCUGGUAGUCCACGCUGUAAACGUUGGGCGCUAGGUGUGGGGGGCCUCUCCGGUCCUCUGUGCCGCAGCUAACGCAUUAAGCGCCCCGCCUGGGGAGUACGGUCGCAAGACUA
RNAcentral lists this ribosomal RNA (510 nucleotides) under uncultured Actinomycetes bacterium. Its description in RNAcentral is "bacterial SSU rRNA". It matches the Rfam family "Bacterial small subunit ribosomal RNA", at positions 376 to 896 of the family's 1533-position model. Lineage: Bacteria; Bacillati; Actinomycetota; Actinomycetes. The record is from RNAcentral.